CUAAAUCCAAGAGUCAUGUCAUCAGAAGAAUACACUGCACUUUUCAAUGUCAAUACAGUUAUUUGUAACUUUUUUUUUAUCUACAUUCAUUGUAAAACUCAUAUUUUAUUCAUGAUAGCUCAGAAGACAUCUUUGCUUGCCAUGUGCAUGCUCAAACCCAGUUCAAAUUUUAAAUGUUUGAGGUUCUUUUGGGUAUUGUGACAGUGUGAUCACUUUGAGAUUUGCCCCUAA
This 231-nucleotide long non-coding RNA is filed under the name Mytilus galloprovincialis (Mediterranean mussel). Lineage: Eukaryota; Metazoa; Mollusca; Bivalvia; Mytilida; Mytilidae. The record is from RNAcentral.